UACGUAGGGAGCAAGCGUUGUCCGGAAUCAUUGGGCGUAAAGCGCGUGUAGGCGGCUUGGUAAGUCUGCUCUGAAAGCCCGGGGCUCAACCCCGGGAGGCGGGUGGAUACUGUCAAGCUCGAGUCCGGAAGAGGCGAGUGGAAUUCCUGGUGUAGCGGUGAAAUGCGCAGAUAUCAGGAGGAACACCAAUGGCGAAGGCAGCUCGCUGGGACGUGACUGACGCUGAGACGCGAAAGCGUGGGGAGCAAACAGG
Molecule: ribosomal RNA, 253 nt
Filed under: uncultured bacterium
Lineage: Bacteria
Description: partial 16S ribosomal RNA
Rfam family: Bacterial small subunit ribosomal RNA
Source: RNAcentral